Molecule: ribosomal RNA, 254 nt
Filed under: uncultured bacterium
Lineage: Bacteria
Description: partial 16S ribosomal RNA
Rfam family: Bacterial small subunit ribosomal RNA
Source: RNAcentral
UACGUAGGACCCAAGCGUUAUCCGGAUUGACUGGGCGUAAAGAGUUGCGUAGGUGGUCUGUUAAGCGAAUAGUGAAAUCUUGUGGCUCAACCAUGAGGCUAUUAUUCGAACUGGCAGACUCGAGAAUGGAAGAGGUAUCUGGAAUUUCUCAUGUAGGGGUAAUAUCCGCAGAUAUGAGAAGGAACACCAAUGGCGUAGGCAGGAUACUGGUCCAUUUCUGACACUGAGGCACGAAAGCGUGGGGAGCGAACCGG